RNAcentral lists this transfer RNA (73 nucleotides) under Balaenoptera acutorostrata scammoni. Its description in RNAcentral is "tRNA-Glu (TTC) (tRNA-Glu-TTC-9-1)". It matches the Rfam family "tRNA". From Rfam's summary of the family: Transfer RNA (tRNA) molecules are approximately 80 nucleotides in length. The record is from RNAcentral. Lineage: Eukaryota; Metazoa; Chordata; Mammalia; Artiodactyla; Balaenopteridae.
UCCCUGAUGGUCCAGUGGUUAGGACUCUGCACUUUCACUGCGGAGGGCCCGGGUUCGAUCCCUGGUCAGGGAA